This 253-nucleotide ribosomal RNA is filed under the name uncultured bacterium. RNAcentral describes it as "partial 16S ribosomal RNA". It matches the Rfam family "Bacterial small subunit ribosomal RNA", at positions 524 to 776 of the family's 1533-position model. The record is from RNAcentral.
UACGUAGGGUGCAAGCGUUGUCCGGAAUUAUUGGGCGUAAAGCGCGCGCAGGCGGCCUUUUAAGUCUGAUGUGAAAGCCCACGGCUCAACCGUGGAAGGUCAUUGGAAACUGAAGGGCUUGAGUACAGAAGAGGAAAGCGGAAUUCCACGUGUAGCGGUGAAAUGCGUAGAGAUGGGGAGGAACACCAGUGGCGAAGGCGACUCACUGGCCCGAUACUGACGCUGAGGCGCGAAAGCGUGGGGAGCAAACAGG